GACGAACGCUGGCGGCGUGCUUAACACAUGCAAGUCGAGCGGUAAGGCCCUUUCGGGGGUACGACGAGCGGCGAACGGGUGAGUAACACGUGGGUGACCUGCCCUCAGCUCUGGGAUAAGCCUGGGAAACUGGGUCUAAUACUGGAUAUGACUCCACGGUGCAUGUCGUGGGGUGGAAAGCCUUGUGCGGCUGAGGAUGGGCCCGCGGCCUAUCAGCUUGUUGGUGGGGGAUGGCCUACCAAGGCGACGACGGGUAGCCGGCCUGAGAGGGCGACCGGCCACACUGGGACUGAGACACGGCCCAGACUCCUACGGGAGGCAGCAGUGGGGAAUCUUGCGCAAUGGGCGAAAGCCUGACGCAGCGACGCCGCGUGAGGGAUGACGGCCU
Molecule: ribosomal RNA, 388 nt
Filed under: uncultured bacterium
Lineage: Bacteria
Description: bacterial SSU rRNA
Rfam family: Bacterial small subunit ribosomal RNA
Source: RNAcentral